ACUUCUAGAUGUUCCAGCUUGCGGGGGAGUGUUGAAUAUUAGGGAACUCCUAGUAGGAGUGGGCUUAGUUUCCUAUUUCUAUUAAUCUUGAUUUAGUCCCCAUGUUCCUAUAAAUAUAGGCUCCUUAUAUAGAUAGAAGUAUAGAGUACACAGAGAGACAAUCUAUUGUAAUCGUUCAUUAUAAUACGGAGUAUAUUCUUUCUAUUUUCUUUUUUCUUUGGUUUCUCACAUAUUUUGCUUCCGCCUAACUAGCGGGUGGUUGUUAUUCUCCACCCGCCGGGCCUUUCAAUCCCUCAACUUCAACACAUGCCCUAUGGGA
Molecule: long non-coding RNA, 319 nt
Organism: Ipomoea nil (Japanese morning glory)
Lineage: Eukaryota; Viridiplantae; Streptophyta; Magnoliopsida; Solanales; Convolvulaceae
Exons: 3
Source: RefSeq, a predicted model, not a curated record